RNAcentral lists this long non-coding RNA (670 nucleotides) under Mus caroli (Ryukyu mouse). RNAcentral's name for it is "RIKEN cDNA 1700126G02 gene (MGP_CAROLIEiJ_G0003958.1)". The record is from RNAcentral. Lineage: Eukaryota; Metazoa; Chordata; Mammalia; Rodentia; Muridae.
ACGCACUUCCUCCUACAGGACCAGGCCCAAAAGUGUGCCCAGGCCCAAAAGUGUGCGGCUAGAGAGGAAGCAUUCAACAAAGAGCCUAUGGGGACGAUGUGUAUCCAAACCUUAGCACCAAUCACUUUGUAAUUUAUUUACCAUCACCAUAACAGAAGCGCCAUGAGUGGCCGUCAGCUGUCGGCUUCACAUGGAGUCUGAUGGGACUCGCUGUAAACAGAAACAUCCACAAACGUCGCUCAGCUCCUGGAGAACAGCGAGGCCUCUUCUUUACUCGGGCAUUUUUAGUGCUGUGACCUCGGGCUUCAUUUUAAAGUACUGGUUAAAACGGACAACCGCAUACCUAGUGGGGAAAGAACAAGGCAGAGUCAGAGCUGCCCUAGCUGACUGCACAAAGGUGGAACUGCCAGUGUGCAUGCUUCACCUGCUGCUGCCCCUGCUGGACACUCCCCAUGCCGAGCAUGCAAAGGCAACAGAAGCGCCAGGAGACUGCUCAGAAGGUAACCGAAGUGGCCUCCACCAGUCAAACCCGGCAAGCUUUCAGUCUCCAGAGCCCACAUGGCAGAAGAAGAGAAAGAAUUCUCCUAGGUCCUCCUCUGACCCCACCCACCAAUCCUGUGGCAUGAGCAUCUCACGCCCACACAAAGUAAAUAAAUGCAUGUAAAAAUUG